This 442-nucleotide ribosomal RNA is filed under the name uncultured bacterium. RNAcentral describes it as "bacterial SSU rRNA". It matches the Rfam family "Bacterial small subunit ribosomal RNA", at positions 28 to 450 of the family's 1533-position model. The record is from RNAcentral.
GACGAACGCUGGCGGCGUGCCUAACACAUGCAAGUCGAACAGAACUGUUUUGAAAGAUUUCUUCGGAAUGAAUUUGAUUUAGUUUAGUGGCGGACGGGUGAGUAACGCGUGAGUAACCUGCCUUCAAGAGGGGGAUAACAUUCUGAAAAGAAUGCUAAUACCGCAUGACAUAUCGGAACCACAUGGUUUUGAUAUCAAAGAUUUUAUCGCUUGAAGAUGGACUCGCGUCCGAUUAGUUAGUUGGUGAGGUAACGGCUCACCAAGACCGCGAUCGGUAGCCGGACUGAGAGGUUGAACGGCCACAUUGGGACUGAGACACGGCCCAGACUCCUACGGGAGGCAGCAGUGGGGGAUAUUGCGCAAUGGGGGCAACCCUGACGCAGCAACGCCGCGUGGAGGAUGAAGGUUUUCGGAUUGUAAACUUCUUUUAUUAAGGACGAAA